CUCUGAGAAACACUUUAAAUCAUCAAUCUCAUCUGAUUCUAGAAACUAAGUAAGGUGAGGACUGGUCACUAUUCUGAUGGGAAACCAUCAGGGAAUACUAGGGGUCCCAAGGA
RNAcentral lists this ribosomal RNA (113 nucleotides) under Pogona vitticeps (central bearded dragon). The record is from RNAcentral. Lineage: Eukaryota; Metazoa; Chordata; Lepidosauria; Squamata; Agamidae.